RNAcentral lists this ribosomal RNA (900 nucleotides) under Triticum aestivum (bread wheat). RNAcentral describes it as "partial small subunit ribosomal RNA". The record is from RNAcentral. Lineage: Eukaryota; Viridiplantae; Streptophyta; Magnoliopsida; Poales; Poaceae.
AUGCUCAAAGGUGCAUGUGGAUUACCCGUGACGGCAAUAGUUCAAUACACAUUUGACAAGAUGAAUGCGUACUUUCUAAAGUACUCGAUGGAAGCUGAUGCACAGAUAGCGGGUGAGAACCCGCGCAAGUACAAGUAUAAGUUCCCACCCAAGGUUGUUGAAUGGUUAGAAUUUCAAUCACGAAAGGCAGACACAGAAGAAGCUAUAUUAUAUGACAACGAAGAGUGUAAGUACGAAGUGAAAGAGCCAGGAGGAACCACAAACGAUGGCUGGCAACAUGGAGGUGGGGCUUUCAAGGUGUCGUUAACACAAUGUGAUUGCUCUUGCGGGAGGCCAUUGUUGCUUCAUCUCCCAUGCUCACACUUGUAUACCGUCGGGCGCGUUAGAAAUGUGGACAUCUAUCACCCACGCAUCGUGAGGGAGUUGGAGUUCUCAAUCAUGACGGUCAAGAAAACAUGGGCUCCCCGCUUUCACCCAUACUUUGACCAAUCACAAUGGCCGGAGUACCAUGGAGUUCAAUUAUGGUCAGAUUCGAAGUUGAAGGUUGUUAAACGGGGUAGACGUAAAACAAAGCGUCUUAGAAGCGACAUGGACGGAUGGGGCCAUGGUGGCCGCCGCGAAGCGGUAAACGACCAAUUCCAAGAGCCUCGUGAGAGCUCCCGUUGUGGGGAAUGCAAAGGUCAUGGACACAACAAAAGAAAAUGUACGAAACCAAGGAAAAGGUCCAAGAAAAAUGAUGCAAGCGCUAGCCAACAAGGAGCUACACAAGGGAGCCAACCAAGUGGUAGCCGACAAGUGCCAAGCCAACCAGGAGGUAGCCAACAAGUGCGAAGGCAACAACGUGGUAGCCAACAAGUGCCAAGGCAACCAAGUGGGAGCCAGCCUAGUGGUAGUCAAUAA